AAAGUCGUAACAAGGUUUCCGUAGGUGAACCUGCGGAAGGAUCAUUACAAAUCCACGUCUCUCUUUUGAGACCUGUUGAAAUGUGUUUGUGGUGGAGGGUGGUGGUCGGAAGACUAUAUUACUAUAGUCUACCUCUCAUCAUCAUCAUCCCCACAUAUUAUUGACUCGUGUUGAUCAGUUUAUUCAUUUGUAAUAUGAACACAACUUAUAACAAUGGAUCUCUAGGCUCUU
This 231-nucleotide unclassified non-coding RNA is filed under the name Basidiomycota sp. RNAcentral describes it as "partial contains small subunit ribosomal RNA, internal transcribed spacer 1, and 5.8S ribosomal RNA". The stretch from base 1 to 47 matches the Rfam family "Eukaryotic small subunit ribosomal RNA", at positions 1785 to 1831 of the family's 1831-position model. The record is from RNAcentral. Lineage: Eukaryota; Fungi; Basidiomycota.